Molecule: ribosomal RNA, 251 nt
Filed under: uncultured bacterium
Lineage: Bacteria
Also listed under: 1 other name
Description: partial 16S ribosomal RNA
Rfam family: Bacterial small subunit ribosomal RNA
Source: RNAcentral
ACGUAGGGGGCAAGCGUUAUCCGGAUUUACUGGGUGUAAAGGGAGCGUAGACGGCUGUGCAAGUCUGAAGUGAAAGGCAUGGGCUCAACCUGUGGACUGCUUUGGAAACUGUGCAGCUAGAGUGUCGGAGAGGUAAGUGGAAUUCCUAGUGUAGCGGUGAAAUGCGUAGAUAUUAGGAGGAACACCAGUGGCGAAGGCGGCUUACUGGACGAUGACUGACGUUGAGGCUCGAAAGCGUGGGGAGCAAACAG